This 1277-nucleotide ribosomal RNA is filed under the name bacterium CHEP5. RNAcentral's name for it is "bacterial SSU rRNA". It matches the Rfam family "Bacterial small subunit ribosomal RNA", at positions 33 to 1293 of the family's 1533-position model. The record is from RNAcentral.
ACGCUGGCGGCGUGCCUAAUACAUGCAAGUCGAGCGGACAGAUGGGAGCUUGCUCCCUGAUGUUAGCGGCGGACGGGUGAGUAACACGUGGGUAACCUGCCUGUAAGACUGGGAUAACUCCGGGAAACCGGGGCUAAUACCGGAUGGUUGUNUGAACCGCAUGGUUCAGACAUAAAAGGUGGCUUCGGCUACCACUUACAGAUGGACCCGCGGCGCAUUAGCUAGUUGGUGAGGUAACGGCUCACCAAGGCGACGAUGCGUAGCCGACCUGAGAGGGUGAUCGGCCACACUGGGACUGAGACACGGCCCAGACUCCUACGGGAGGCAGCAGUAGGGAAUCUUCCGCAAUGGACGAAAGUCUGACGGAGCAACGCCGCGUGAGUGAUGAAGGUUUUCGGAUCGUAAAGCUCUGUUGUUAGGGAAGAACAAGUGCCGUUCAAAUAGGGCGGCACCUUGACGGUACCUAACCAGAAAGCCACGGCUAACUACGUGCCAGCAGCCGCGGUAAUACGUAGGUGGCAAGCGUUGUCCGGAAUUAUUGGGCGUAAAGGGCUCGCAGGCGGUUUCUUAAGUCUGAUGUGAAAGCCCCCGGCUCAACCGGGGAGGGUCAUUGGAAACUGGGGAACUUGAGUGCAGAAGAGGAGAGUGGAAUUCCACGUGUAGCGGUGAAAUGCGUAGAGAUGUGGAGGAACACCAGUGGCGAAGGCGACUCUCUGGUCUGUAACUGACGCUGAGGAGCGAAAGCGUGGGGAGCGAACAGGAUUAGAUACCCUGGUAGUCCACGCCGUAAACGAUGAGUGCUAAGUGUUAGGGGGUUUCCGCCCCUUAGUGCUGCAGCUAACGCAUUAAGCACUCCGCCUGGGGAGUACGGUCGCAAGACUGAAACUCAAAGGAAUUGACGGGGGCCCGCACAAGCGGUGGAGCAUGUGGUUUAAUUCGAAGCAACGCGAAGAACCUUACCAGGUCUUGACAUCCUCUGACAAUCCUAGAGAUAGGACGUCCCCUUCGGGGGCAGAGUGACAGGUGGUGCAUGGUUGUCGUCAGCUCGUGUCGUGAGAUGUUGGGUUAAGUCCCGCAACGAGCGCAACCCUUGAUCUUAGUUGCCAGCAUUCAGUUGGGCACUCUAAGGUGACUGCCGGUGACAAACCGGAGGAAGGUGGGGAUGACGUCAAAUCAUCAUGCCCCUUAUGACCUGGGCUACACACGUGCUACAAUGGACAGAACAAAGGGCAGCGAAACCGCGAGGUUAAGCCAAUCCCACAAAUCUGUUCUCAGUU